RNA transcript from Neofelis nebulosa (Clouded leopard), 4722 nucleotides. It is a transcript of the gene named zinc finger and BTB domain containing 1, with no coding region annotated. The record is from RefSeq and is a predicted model, not a curated record. Lineage: Eukaryota; Metazoa; Chordata; Mammalia; Carnivora; Felidae. The transcript is spliced from 4 exons.
GGGGGAAGUGACUCAAGGCCAGAGGCGGACAGGCCCAUGGCAGGCGGAGUGGGGGGAGCGCGGGGAAUGGGUGACCCCGGACCGACUGGCGGCGCACGGGACAGGGCGAGGGUGCCGGCGCCCCCAGAACGCCGGGGACGAACCGCGAGGGGAGGCCCAGCUGCUGAGCCCUCCGGGACAGGGGUCUGACAUCUGGACGGAGUGGGAAAACAGCAUCCUGCCCUUGGGGAGUCGGGAGGAGCCCAGUCCCAUCCAGCUGUGCAAACAGGAGGAGGAGGAGGUCCCAAGCCUACCCUUGGGAGAGGGGCUAGAGGGGUGGUAAAGCCGCCGCCGCCGCGCCGGCCCCCGCGGUGCGGGUUGCGCCAGCCUCCCCGGAGCCCGACGCAGAAACUUGUUGCAAACAAACAGGCGACCGCGGGUGCCCCUAGCAGCCAGCGGCGGAGUGGGUGGGCGGGCGAGAGGGAGGGGAAGGCUGGCGGACGCCGCAGCGAACUGGUGGGCAGACCCGGAGUCGCCGCGUAAGCGGGGCCGGCUCAGUGCGGUGCGGCAGGCGCGGCUGUGCGGCAGCGGAAGUCCUUUGUUGCAGCACAGUCCCUGGCAGAGCCAGAGCCUCUCCGCGCAGCCCAGCCCGAACGCCGCGCGCCGCCGCCACUGCAGCUCGCGGCCCCUUCGCCUCCGCCCGCCUUUCCCGUGGCUGAUUUGCCUUAAACUCCCUAAAACCUCCGCAGCCCCGGUUCCUGCUGCGGCCGGUCUCUAAUUAAUAGAAGAUGGCAAAGCCCAGCCACAGCAGCUACGUCCUUCAACAGCUAAACAACCAAAGGGAAUGGGGUUUUCUCUGUGACUGUUGUAUUGCAAUCGAUGACAUUUACUUCCAAGCACACAAAGCAGUUCUGGCUGCCUGUAGCUCCUAUUUUAGAAUGUUUUUCAUGAACCAUCAGCACAGUACUGCGCAACUGAAUCUCAGCAACAUGAAAAUUAGCGCCGAGUGUUUUGAUCUCAUUCUGCAGUUUAUGUAUUUAGGAAAAAUCAUGACUGCUCCCUCUAGUUUUGAGCAGUUUAAAGUGGCAAUGAACUAUCUACAGCUGUACAAUGUUCCUGACUGCUUAGAAGACAUACAGGAUGCAGAUUGUUCCAGUUCCAAGUGUUCAUCUUCUGCUUCAAGCAAACAGAACAGCAAGAUGAUCUUUGGGGUAAGAAUGUACGAAGACACAGUGGCUAGAAAUGGCAGUGAGGCCAAUAGGUGGUGUGCAGAACCCAGUUCAACCGUAAAUACACCACAUAACAGAGAGCCCGAUGAAGAGUCUUUACAAUUAGGUAAUUUUCCGGAACCACUGUUUGAUGUCUGUAAAAAAAGUUCGGUGUCCAAAUUAUCUACUCCAAAAGAACGCGUGUCACGACGCUUUGGACGGAGUUUUACCUGUGACAGCUGUGGAUUUGGCUUUAGCUGUGAAAAGUUAUUAGAUGAGCAUGUGCUAACCUGUACUAACAGACAUUCGUACCAAAACACAAGAUCCUACCACAGAAUAGUGGAUCUUAGAGAUGGAAAAGACAGUAAUAUCAAAGCUGAGUUUGGUGAAAAGGAUUCUUCUAAAACAUUUUCUACGCAGACGGACAAAUACCGAGGAGACCCGAGCCAGGCGGCCGAGGAUUCGACUUCAACCCCUGGAAGCAGAAAAAGUAGCACCGUGGAGUCUGAGCUAGCCGGCGAAGAAAAAAGCAGAGCUGCCGAAAGGAAAAGAAUCAUUAUCAAGAUGGAGCCAGAAGAUAUUCCUACAGACGAACUGAAAGACUUUAACAUCAUUAAAGUUACUGAUAAAGACUGUAACGAAUCCACUGACAACGACGAAUUAGAAGAUGAACCUGAAGAGCCAUUUUAUAGAUACUAUGUUGAAGAAGAGAUCGGUAUUAAAAAAAGUGGUAGGAAAACUCUAAAACCUCGGAUGUCAAUAAGUGCUGAAGAAAGAGGAGGUUUAGAAAGUAUGAGGCCCCCUAACAACAGCAGUCCGGUACAAGAGGAUACCGAAAAUGCGUCUUGUGAGCUGUGCGGACUCACAAUCACCGAGGAGGACCUGUCAUCCCAUUACUUAGCCAAACACAUUGAAAAUAUCUGUGCGUGUGGUAAAUGCGGACAGAUCCUUGUUAAGGGCAGACAGCUUCAGGAACAUGCGCAGAGAUGUGGAGAACCCCAAGAUCUGACAAUGAAUGGCUUAGGAAAUGCCGAGGAGAAAAUGGACAUGGAAGAGAAUCCUGAUGAGCAGUCAGAAAUAAGAGAUAUGUUUGUUGAAAUGUUGGAUGAUUUCAGGGACAAUCAUUUCCAGAUAAACAGUAUCCAAAAAAAGCAGUUAUUUAAACACUCUGCCUGUCCUUUCCGAUGUCCGAAUUGUGGCCAGCGUUUUGAAACUGAGAACCUAGUGGUUGAACAUAUGUCUAGCUGCCUAGACCAAGAUGUGUUUAAGAGUGCCAUCAUGGAAGAAAACGAGAGAGAUCACAGACGAAAGCAUUUUUGUAAUCUGUGUGGAAAAGGAUUUUAUCAGCGGUGCCACUUAAGAGAACACUACACUGUUCACACCAAGGAAAAACAGUUUGUCUGUCAGACAUGUGGAAAGCAGUUUUUAAGAGAGCGUCAGUUGCGACUGCACAAUGAUAUGCACAAAGGCAUGGCCAGCAAACUCAAGCACAUACUACUUGGUAACAUAUCAGAAGAGUCUUAUACUAAAACCAGAUGAAAUGUAGCUACUUAUAAAUUUAUAUGCUGGCAAGAAGCAAAGAUGCAAGGAUUUAAAAUGCAAGGCCUUUUAUGUCUUGGUGAAAUAGGGCCUUCUAAACCUCUGGAGAAGUGAGAUCUGAAUUUGGAGAGGACAUGGGGAAGAAUCAAUCUUCAACAGAUAAUCUUUAAGUCCAGACCCAGGAAUAUCAGAUCUGAAGUGACACCAUCUUUUCUGUCUUCCUGACAAACCUCAUCAAUCCCAAAGGUUCCAGUUUCAAGGAUCCAAGAAAACUCAGUAAAGAUCACUUUGGAAUCACUUUGCUGUGACAAAAUUGAUUCACAGUGACUCUCCUAGUAUUUGUGGAAAAUCUGCUAAAGAAAAGUAACAGAAUAUUCAUAUGGCAUCAGUGGUUAAAGCUACACUAAAAUGAGACUUUAUAUGCUAAUUAUCUUCCAUGGUCCCUUCUAAAAUAAAAGGGGUUGCUAGGCUACUAUAAAUAUAUUAUAAAGAGAUAAUAACGCAUCUGUGUAAACACAUAUAAUCCUAAAAUUAAAAUAAUCUCAAUCACAGUUUGCAUAUUAUGAAAUGUAGUUAGACAAUUAAAAAAAUUACACUCCAAAAUCUACAGUUUAGAGUAUAAAUAAAGAGAUGUGGGUACAGAGAAAAAAACAAUGAGACCAAUUUUUUAACAAGAAAAGAUAAUCUACUUUUUACUCGUUGUAAUGUAACAUUUGCCCUUCCUCCUUUUUCGCUGUAUAUACUCGUCACAAACUUGAUUAUUAAUAUUAAUGAAGCUCCCUUUAAGCCUGUUAACUCAAAGGAAAACCAAAGUGGUUAUUACUUCAAUAGUAGAUUUUCAUAAAUCACAGACAACAAAAAGAAUGUAUCUUAAGACGCAUUAUUUUCUUCUGAAUUUAGCAAUAUAACCUAAUAAGGUAGAAUGAGUUUCUGUUAAAUAUUUAUUCUCAGUAUUAACAUAUAAUACCAUAUUUCUCAGCUUUCAAAUUUCAAGAUAAAAUUUAACUAAGUAUUGAGUGAAACGAUUGAUGUGUUUAAAAAAAAAACAAAACACCUUUCACCGGGAAAUGAAAUGUUUGAGGAGAUUUUAACCUGGCUUCAAAUACUUUGUUUUAUAUAUAUAUAUAUAUAUAUAUAUAUAUAUGCUCAUACACACGUUUCUUAACCAUAUGAAUCUUACAGCCAUACUAUUUCCUUAUUGUGAGAUACUCAUAGUUUUAUUUUUGUUUAACUGUCUAUCCAAUUCAUUAUUAUUAUUGUUUCUUAUGCAAUAUCCUGAUGUUAUAUAUUUCCAGAAAUGCUUAUUUUGUUUUUAUGCCUAUUUCUUCAAAUGUUUUAGUAAAGAAUUACACAAAGAAAUCUAACUUAGAGUAUAUAUAAUAGUAUAUGCAAAAGUUAAGUCAUUUAAAAUCUCUAGCUAUAAAGUGGGAUGAUAACUUGAAUAUUCCUUCUAAUAAUUAGACUAACAAAAACUUAGAUAAAAUUAAUUAGAAUGAAAGUUAAUUAGAAUGUGGUAGUGGGUAUAGGGGCCUGAAGGGAUAGGAGAAAUAAAGACUUCGAGUUCAUACGAAUUCAACUGCCUUAAGAGAAAUAAGUUUAGAAAAGUGUUAGAUUCUAAAAAACAAAAACAAAGUAAAAAACUAUAGCUAAUCUCUUGGGAAGCAUAUGAACCUGCAGACUUAUAACAAGUAGGAAACAGACAAGAUAAAAGAUUACCGGUAAUUAAAGGUGCCAGAUCGAUACAGUAGAGACUCAACAAAUAAUGACUGUAGAAGUAGAUUUAGAAAAGAAAUAUGGCUUAAAUUUUGACUGUACUAAACUAUAACUGUAAUGAAUUACAAUAAUUAUAAGUGAUAUAAAUGCAUUCUACAAUGUGAUUAUUUUCUGUAUGUUAGUAUGAAAUGGAGUUACUGAGUUACAUGGAAAAUUUUUGUUACAUAUCUUAAUCCGUUGCUUUUACCUAAUAAAAUUUCCUCCUCUAUGUUCAGAAGUUAAA